RNAcentral lists this ribosomal RNA (468 nucleotides) under uncultured bacterium. RNAcentral describes it as "partial 16S ribosomal RNA". It matches the Rfam family "Bacterial small subunit ribosomal RNA", at positions 28 to 507 of the family's 1533-position model. The record is from RNAcentral.
GACGAACGCUGGCGGCGUGCUUAACACAUGCAAGUCGAACGGAAAGGCCCUGCUUUUGUGGGGUGCUCGAGUGGCGAACGGGUGAGUAACACGUGAGUAACCUGCCCUUGACUUUGGGAUAACUUCAGGAAACUGGGGCUAAUACCGGAUAAGAGCUCCUGCUGCAUGGUGGGGGUUGGAAAGUUUCGACGGUUGGGGAUGGACUCGCGGCUUAUCAGCUUGUUGGUGGGGUAGUGGCUUACCAAGGCUUUGACGGGUAGCCGGCCUGAGAGGGUGACCGGCCACAUUGGGACUGAGAUACGGCCCAGACUCCUACGGGAGGCAGCAGUGGGGAAUAUUGCACAAUGGGCGGAAGCCUGAUGCAGCAACGCCGCGUGCGGGAUGACGGCCUUCGGGUUGUAAACCGCUUUCGCCUGUGACGAAGCGUGAGUGACGGUAAUGGGUAAAGAAGCACCGGCUAACUACGUG